GCCAACAUGGUGUAGAGGUUUGAGUGUCGGACUUUAAUUCUGGAGAGCAGGGUUCGAAUCCCCCCUUUGCCA
Non-coding RNA from Phrynosoma platyrhinos (Desert horned lizard), 72 nucleotides. NCBI's taxonomy places the organism in Eukaryota, Metazoa, Chordata, Lepidosauria, Squamata, Phrynosomatidae. The record is from the annotation of a GenBank genome assembly.